This 497-nucleotide ribosomal RNA is filed under the name uncultured bacterium. Its description in RNAcentral is "partial 16S ribosomal RNA". It matches the Rfam family "Bacterial small subunit ribosomal RNA", at positions 28 to 507 of the family's 1533-position model. The record is from RNAcentral.
GACGAACGCUGGCGGCGUGCCUAAUACAUGCAAGUAGAACGCUGAAGAGAGGAGCUUGCUCUUCUUGGAUGAGUUGCGAACGGGUGAGUAACGCGUAGGUAACCUGCCUUGUAGCGGGGGAUAACUAUUGGAAACGAUAGCUAAUACCGCAUAACAAUGGAUGACACAUGUCAUUUAUUUGAAAGGGGCAAUUGCUCCACUACAAGAUGGACCUGCGUUGUAUUAGCCAGUAGGUGAGGUAAUGGCUCACCUAGGCGACGAUACAUAGCCGACCUGAGAGGGUGAUCGGCCACACUGGGACUGAGACACGGCCCAGACUCCUACGGGAGGCAGCAGUAGGGAAUCUUCGGCAAUGGGGGCAAACCUGACCGAGCAACGCCGCGUGAGUGAAGAAGGUUUUCGGAUCGUAAAGCUCUGUUGUAAGUCAAGAACGGGUGUGAGAGUGGAAAGUUCACACUGUGACGGUAGCUUACCAGAAAGGGACGGCUAACUACGUG